Molecule: transfer-messenger RNA, 364 nt
Filed under: Oscillospiraceae
Lineage: Bacteria; Bacillati; Bacillota; Clostridia; Eubacteriales
Also listed under: 1 other name
Description: Dysosmobacter sp004553545 Standard tmRNA
Rfam family: transfer-messenger RNA
About the family: Bacterial tmRNA, also known as 10Sa RNA or SsrA, is named for its dual tRNA and mRNA-like properties. Its role is to liberate the mRNA from a stalled ribosome. To accomplish this part of the tmRNA is used as a reading frame that ends in a translation stop signal.
Source: RNAcentral
GGGGGCGUACCGGUUUCGACGGGGGUAUGGAGGCAGGAUCAGCGGGCGGAUGCGCCUGACAUCCUAAAAACGGGCAAUUAUAAAUUAAAGAACAACAACGAGUUUGCUGUUGCUGCCUAAUUAAGGCAGCCGUCUGAACCGGAGAGGCCACAGGCCGGGGAAGGCGUCGUUAAUGUGGCGUCCGUGAGGCGGGAAAGAGUUGACCUGCCCACGCAUCAUGACUCUCACCUGAACGGAUCGGCGUGACGGCUUGCCGCCGGGAGGGGAACAAGGGGAGCAAGACCCCGCCAAUAACCGCCUGCGCCCGGAGAAAAUCCUGUUAAAGUGCUUUCGGACAGGGGUUCAACUCCCCUCGCCUCCACCA